RNAcentral lists this small nuclear RNA (107 nucleotides) under Carlito syrichta (Philippine tarsier). RNAcentral describes it as "U11 spliceosomal RNA (ENSTSYG00000027794.1)". It matches the Rfam family "U11 spliceosomal RNA", at positions 1 to 107 of the family's 134-position model. Lineage: Eukaryota; Metazoa; Chordata; Mammalia; Primates; Tarsiidae. The record is from Rfam by way of RNAcentral.
AAAAAGGGCUUCUGCCGUGAGUGGCACAUGUAGGGCAAUUCAAUAGCUCUUCGUGCGGAAUCGACAUCAAGAGAUUUUGGAAGCAUAACUUUUUGGCACCUGGACUG